Molecule: RNase P RNA, 386 nt
Filed under: Candidatus Hydrogenedentota bacterium
Lineage: Bacteria; Pseudomonadati; Candidatus Hydrogenedentota
Description: Hydrogenedentota bacterium Bacterial RNase P class A
Rfam family: Bacterial RNase P class A
About the family: Ribonuclease P (RNase P) is a ubiquitous endoribonuclease, found in archaea, bacteria and eukarya as well as chloroplasts and mitochondria. Its best characterised activity is the generation of mature 5'-ends of tRNAs by cleaving the 5'-leader elements of precursor-tRNAs.
Source: Rfam by way of RNAcentral
UGAGUAGGCCGGACGGCCGCGGCGCACUUCGGGUGCGUCGAGGAAAGUCCGAGCUCCACAGGGCAGGGUGCUUGGUAACGCCAAGGCGGGGCAACCCGACGGAAAGUGGCACAGAAAACACACGGCCCAAGCCGCGCUAUGCGUGGCCUCACGCGGCGCGUGGCCGGCAAAGGUGAAAAGGUGCGGUAAGAGCGCACCAGCGGCCUGGCGACAGGCCGGCUUGCCAAACCCCACCCGGAGAAAGUCCAAAUAGGGGAGCGAUGGGGUGGCCCGCCCCGCUCCCGGGUAGGACGCUCGAGGCGCGCGGCGACGCGCGUCCCAGAUGAAUGGCCGUCUCGGCGCUCUCGGGCGCUAGACAGAACUCGGCUUACAGGCCUGCUCACGUU